Molecule: ribosomal RNA, 52 nt
Filed under: Alternaria sp. F54
Lineage: Eukaryota; Fungi; Ascomycota; Dothideomycetes; Pleosporales; Pleosporaceae
Also listed under: 1 other name
Description: partial 28S ribosomal RNA
Source: RNAcentral
UUUGACCUCGGAUCAGGUAGGGAUACCCGCUGAACUUAAGCAUAUCAAUAAG